This 889-nucleotide ribosomal RNA is filed under the name sediment metagenome. RNAcentral describes it as "bacterial SSU rRNA". It matches the Rfam family "Bacterial small subunit ribosomal RNA", at positions 8 to 914 of the family's 1533-position model. The record is from RNAcentral.
AGAGUUUGAUCCUGGCUCAGGAUCAACGCUGGCGGCGUGCCUAAUGCAUGCAAGUCGAACGCGGUCUCCGCGAGGGGGCUGGCGUGGCGGACGGGUGAGGAACACGUGGGCAACCUGCCCCGGGGCGGGGGGUAGCCCCCGGAAACGGGGGGUAAUUCCGCAUGUGCGCGGCCCUCGUCUGGGGGGGUCGCGGAAAGGCGCAAGCCACCCCGGGAGGGGCCUGCGGCCGAUUAGCUGGUUGGCGGGGUCACGGCCCACCAAGGCGACGAUCGGUAGCUGGUCUGAGAGGACGGCCAGCCACACGGGGACUGAGAGACGGCCCCGACUCCUACGGGAGGCAGCAGCAAGGGAUUUUCCGCAAUGGGCGCAAGCCUGACGGAGCAACGCCGCGUGGGGGAGGACGCCCUUCGGGGUGUAAACCCCUUUUCUUGGGGACGACGCACCGACGGUACCCGAGGAAGAAGGCCCGGCUAACUACGUGCCAGCAGCCGCGGUAAUACGUAGGGGCCGAGCGUUGUCCGGAGUGACUGGGCGUAAAGCGCGCGCAGGCGGCCCGCCGCGCCCGGCGUGAAAGCCCCCGGCUCAACCGGGGAGGGUCGUCGGGGACGGGCGGGCUUGAGGGCGGCAGGGGCCGGUGGAAUCCCCGGUGUAGUGGUGAAAUGCGUAGAGAUCGGGGGGAACACCCGUGGCGAAGGCGGCCGGCUGGGCCGACUCUGACGCUGAGGCGCGAAGGCGUGGGGAGCGAACGGGAUUAGAUACCCCGGUAGUCCACGCGGUAAACGAUGCGGACUGGGCGUGGGGGGACUUGACCCCCUCCGUGCCGGAGCUAACGCGGGAAGUCCGCCGCCUGGGGAGUACGGCCGCAAGGCUAAAACUCAAAGGAAUUGAC